AAAAAAUUCAAAAUGAAACACAGUGAGUUAUAUUGCUAUUAUCAAAGAUAAAAGAUGAUCACUUCUGCUGAGGGUUUAGGAAUAUUGAUCAUCUCAGACUCUGAUGGUGCAAUGCAAUUUGGGACAAGCAUUCUGGAGAGUGAUUCAUGAUAGCAUAUGUCAAAAUCCUUAAAAAUAUGCAUGUCCUUUUAUCCAGUCAUUUCAUUGCUAAAAAGUUAGUUUUCCUGGAGGUGUGCUUUCAAAUAUAAAAAUUCAUGCAGCUUUGUUUAUCAUAGCAUUUUUCAAAAAUGGAAAACAAUCUUAACUGUUGACCAAAGAGAGAACUGAGUGAAUAACUUCAUAUAUUCCUAACAAACAAUAAUAUGAAACUAUUAAGAGUUAUUUUGUUGUAAAAACUUGACUGUUAUUUAAAGGUCUAUGACAGAUACUGAACAAACUGAAAGUACAGCAGAAUGAUUUAGCAGACUCUGGAGUACAAGUGUCCAGGCUUGGUUCAUAGCACCUGCCUUUUAUUCCCUGUGUAGUCCUGGGCAAAUUAUUUACCUUUUCUGAUUCUUAGUUUACUUCUCUGUAAAAUAGAGCUAAUAGUAGCUAUCUCAUCAAAUUGUUCUAAGGUUUACAUUAAUUCAUAAAUAUAAAGGAAUAGUGCCUGGCGUGAGUUAUAUGCUUAAAAAAAAGUUAGCUGUCAAUAAUAAGUACUUCAGACUUAAUUUCAAACAUUACUUUUAUCAUAAUGCUCUUCCAUAUCGAGGACAUCAAGUAGCUUCUGAAUGUGUCGAGAUCAAGCCCAGGCAUUUUCACUUAGCAGAAAACCAUCCAUAUCUUAAAAAAUAAACAGAAAAUUCCUUGAAUAUGGACAUAUCCAGAUGCUUCUCCUUCUUCUGGACACUCCUGCUAGACGUGGCUUCUUCACUGCCUCUCCCGUCUCUGAGACCCUUCUCAGAUCUCAGCCUCAAUGCUGUUUCUUUCACUAGAGUACCGUGGCCAUUCCUCUGUUGAUCUAAAAUACACCUGGCCUUCCACACUCACAUGCUUACUGUACAAAUCUUUCUCUCCUUUCUCCAGUGCAUGGAAAUGGAAAAAAAAAUUGAUAUGUCAGGAUAUAUCAUAUUCUCUGGCCUUUCUUUACCAUAUACUUCCCUAGAUACAGGACUAUCUGACUUUCCUAGACGAAAGUCCCCAAGGGUAGGCUCAAGGUCCCUUCUCACAUGAAGCCUAUUAACAACUAAUUUAGAUGCUAAAUACACAAAUUUAGUCAUGCAUUUACAAUCUAACUUUAAAGCACAUCACUCUGUAAACGUAUAAUCUGGCCUAUAGGGCUAUGGCCUCUUUGGUCCAAUCUGCAGGAGUACUAGUUCCUCAUGAGGUCAUCUCAGAAGUCUUCCCGACUGAUUUUGAUACAAAUGAAGAGCCCAGCCUCACACAAUAGCAGAAAUCAACUGGCAAAUUAUUAAAUAAGAUGCCUUCCUGAGAUUUAUGUCACACCAUUCCUGUAUCUACAGAAUCCUUCAUGUAGAAAUACAGAUUUCUUCAUGUAUUUUAGUACUGUACUUUCAUGCUUAUAUAAAAACCAAGUUGGAGAACAUUUCAGAAGGAGACAUGUGCAGUGUGCAUUAGGUCCUAACUUGUCUGAAGACUUAGACAGUCAGGGAAUGGCCCCAGCUUAAUCAAAACAAGUUUUCUCAUCUCUCUCAAAUAAUUUGAUGUACUUGGGUGGUUGCAGGGACCCCAAGGACUUCAAUGUCUAGCAAAAUCUGAUCAACUCUCCAAAAAGAGUCCUUCAGUACCUCUCAGACUAACUGCAAAUAACUUCCCAUUUAUCCAAACCAGGUGACAAUGUCAAAUCACAUUAUGUUCAUGUGGAAAGUAAUUGAAAGGCAACUCUUUAGUUCUGAAUUCAGAAGUUGGUCAAAAGUCUAACAUUUUCAAAAGCUGUAUCAUUUUGAGAAAGUGAAGAAAAUUGCAUUUUCUAUCUUUCCAAAGAAUCUAACUAUCUUUUAUUGUAUUUUUAAGGUAGCUUGGCUGCUGCUGUGAUGUUGAAGGAACAAAUCAAGGACACAAGGUUGAGAGAUACAAUGUGGCAGAUUUCAAACAGGAGAGCUGCUGAGUACUUUACUAUCUUUUUUUUUUAUUUUCAAAAUAAGAAUUGAAAUAAUAGAAAUAUGUCAAUGGUAAAUACAACUAAAAAAAAAAGAAACUGGGUGAUGUAAAGCAGUAUUCACAUUGUGAACAAUGGUCAGGGAACUAUUCUUGCAUUCAUCCUUCCAUCCAUCUACCAGUUCAUUUUUUUUUGAAAAAUGUUUUAUUGAGCAACACUUGUGCCAGGUUCUGUUGUAGGUGCUGAGGAAGCAGCAUGAACAAGGCAGACACAGUCUCUGACCUCACAGAGCUUACAGUCUAACAAAGGAAGAGUGUAAUUUUAUGCUCUUGUUAAUUCAUCAGAAAUUGAUGACAAAGAUCAGAUGUUACUAGAAUAGGAAUGUCUGGGAGAAAGGCAAAAUUGUUGUCUUCUCUUAAGACACUUUUACUUUUCUACUCCUGCACUUGUUCUACCUCCCAUAGACCAAUGCGUUCCACCUCCACGGACCAAACACUGGAUUCACUUCAGUACUAAGCACCCAGUCGAGUUGCCUGCCUUGUAAACAGGAAGCUCCUACAUCCAUGUAAAAGCAUCUCACUAUUUUGUCUGCUGUAUUUACUGUAGUAGACAUUCAGUAUACAUGUGUUUUAAUGCAAAAUCACUCACAUAUUCCAAAAGUCCUUGAACUAUGACCCCAUUUCCAGAGUCUUUUUUCCAGCAUUUACCCUGCCUUACCCCCAUGUAAUACUUUAUUACUCCCCCUAAGGUUCUGUAACACAGCAAGUUAACUACCUUGGUUUCCUGCUAAUUGUUUGACUACUUUUUCUCUGGUGUACUUGAUGAUCUUGUUCAAUUAAUUUCAGUCCAAUGCAAUUCAAUUCAGUUUCAUUAAUUUCUGAGCAAUUACUAGGUACUGAAUACAUGACUACUUCUCUAUAGAAUAUUCCAAAAUCCAGCCCUCAGCUAUCUGAUAGAUCUAAUUCCAAAAUGUCUAUUGGACAUCAUCUCCUGGGUAACUGUAAUCUCCUCAUUCUCAACAUAUCCAAAACUAAACUUAUCAUUUUACUCUAAAAUAAGAGUAUACUUACUUCUCCGAUUAACAUAAUAUAAGUAAUAUGAGUAUUACUUAAGUCAGCAAUAUAUAAAUCUUAGUGUUGUAUUUAACUACUUCUUCAACAAUUCCCCUAAAUGAAGCUUGAUUUUAUUCUGCAUACAACUCACCUCAAUCAAAAAAUUCUCUUAAUAUGCCUUAUUACUUUUAUAAUCUCUUCCAAUCCAAACAUACUAGAUUACAAAGAUGUGUCAGCUUUAAUGACACUUAACUCCUACAGAAUCAUGUCUACUUCCAUCAGUUUGGGGUAUAAUAGCUUGGGGUGCAGUGUCUUCACUCUAACUGCCUUAUUUGCCACUUUUGAUCCACAUAUGUUCCAGGGAAAAUAGACGUAUCCCAAAUGGUAUGUGAUUUCUUGAUUCUGAAUUGUUUUCCAACUUCUCUCUCACCUUUUAGUAUUCCUACCCCUGUCAUUCUGAGUGUUAAAAUUCUUUCCACUUUUUAAGCCCUAGUUUAAGUCACACCUUCUUGAUGAUUUAAGCUACGAUGAUAAAUUUAAAAAGAUAAAUAAAUAAAGAACGUGGCCUUUAGUAACAAACAGACUUGGAUUAAAUCCUGGACGCACAACUUUACAUGCUGUUUAAUCAUUGACAAAAUACAUAAAAUUGUGGCACUGCUCUAAAGGAAAAAAAAAGUGUGUAUCUUCAGAAUGAAGAUAAUCCUACCUUGCACUUUGAAGUGAAGAAGGUUUAUGCUUUGAAUCCUUUCUUACUUUUUAGUGUUUAUACAGAAGUAUUCUUUCUUAAUGGUAUUUCUGUCACUUCCGUUACCUUUCAGUGGGAAUGGAAGUAGAAAAAUGACCUAAGUUUGUAAUCUUGAUCCAGCUCCUCUGUCAGAUAUUAAUUUUGUAUGCAGGAAAACAAUAAACUCUAAAAAUAUUCCAAUGAUUAAAAAUAAAUUAAAAAGUUAGUGUUUGCUUAUGUGAAGAAACCAGCUAAGUGGAACACCUCAUUUCCCAUUGAUAAUCAAUAUAAUUAGGCAUUUCUGUGCCAUGUAAAAAAAUAAAAAUAAAUGAAAAAAAUAAAAAUAAAAAGCUUACUGUAGGAAAUUCUUUGAGAGUUAAAUGUAAAUUUUUAAUUUUCUGUAAUUUUUUCCUACAUUUUUUUGCUGCUCCAAAAAGAAAAAUGUGGUGUUCUACAAGAUUUGUAGUAAAAUAUUAAGUAUGUGUAUCUCUUCCAUGGGUAUUAAGGUCAAUCUUUAAGUUGAAUAUCCAAUAUUUAUUGGGCUUCAGUUGACAAGACAGUAAAUAACAGAACAUAAGUUCUAACUCACUAUUUGAAAUCCAUUCCAAACUUUGAGAACUAUAGUGCUAAAAUGAUUUGCAAACCUUUGGCAAAUAGGAUUAAAGUAUAAGCCAUAUUAAAGCAUUUGAUGUGCACUGUAGCUAAGCAUGUCAUAUCUUUCGAUAAUGUUGCAUCCUCUGUAUCCCAUUAAUGAAAACGCCUAUCAGGUAUUACUGUCCAGCCCCGAUGUACGAAGAUAGCUAAGGAUAAAUGCACAUUUACCUGUUACUUGCCUACAGUAUAUUCACAAUUUGUUUUAUGUAUGUAUAUACAUCUCCUUGCCUCUUUCACCUUUCAUUACAAUAACUAAAACAUAAUAUAGCAAAUAUUGUCUUCUUGUACUAAAUCCUGCUUCCCCUGCCACCCCUGACAAAUGUCCUAUGCUCUGUAUUUUGGGGUUGGAAGACUAGAAAGACAUUUGUUGGACUCCUCUAUCAGAUGGAUUCUGGGGUUGGGUCCUACCAAAAGAAGUACCAGAUAAAGGGAAAAUGUGGGCUCCAAUAGCAUCUGGGGGUUAGUGUAAGGAAUUAAUUCUACUUUCUCACUUUUCUUUUUCUAGCCCUGGGAGGAGGGGGAUAGCAGCUUUCUCUACUUUCUGAUCUCAGAGUAUUACCACCAUUUUCUGUAUUUCCCUAUAACCCUUUCCAACAAUUUGUAAAUAUAUUUCUAUACUAAAUUUUCUUCUGUUUGAAAUUCUGAGAGUGGUUUCUAUCUUCCUUACUGGACCUUGGCUGAUGCAUAUACUAUAUACACAAGUUAUAUCAAUUGAAUGAGGACAUGAACUAGGACCAAGUUGUCAAACUCUGCAAUGAAAUCUUAGGGGAACAGAUUAAUGCUUUAUCAACAGCAUUCAUCCCAACUAUCUUCUUGAAGAAUAACUUUAUUUCUUAGUUGUAGAUCUCAGUUCUAGAGACCUGGUAGUGUAGGAGAGAGACACCCCUCUUUAUGCUCACGGCCUAAUUACACCUCCUCUGACUGAUUGCUAGAGCAUGUCAGCUCUCAAAGAUUGACUUUUGUCACUUUCUGGAGAUUGCUUACUUCUGUGCCCAUAUCCAGUGUGGUCUUCACAUGGGUCUCAUAUUAUCAAAAAGCUUGAAGGAUGUGGACAAAAGUGAUGUGCCCUUUGAGGUAGUAUCUUUGCUAAAAGCAGGGUUGGUUUCAGAUAAGAUGCCAUAUUUUUCAUGUGUAGCAUUGCCUGCAUGAUCCACUUGUCAUAUUACUUCUUCUAGUAUGUGUCAUAUUAUGUUAGGUCAUGCCAUCAGAGUUAACAAUGGGACAUGCUAUUGCCAGAGCAGCAGCAUAUAGAUUGCCACAGAUUCAAAAGCCUUUGGUCUUUACACACUUCUGGGAGAUACAUGAGCUGGAUCUUGUACCAUUAAGUUCUGUGGCCACCAUACAAGAUAUAUCAUAUUUUUUCCAAGAGAAAAAUAGUCAGUAGGCUUGAAGAAAUCAUGAGGUAACAUUCUGGAGAAAACAAUCCCACCAAUACUGAAUUUUGAACUCCAGUGCCUUGGCAAGCCAGUGCCUCUUUACAUUCAGCUCUUGACUUCCAGCAAUGGCAGUCAUUUUGGAUAAAUUGUGCCUUGACACUUCAGCACCAGCCAAAUUCACAGGAGCAUCUUUACAGAUUUCAAAAAGCUCACAUUUAGAAAGAUAAGACAGUCUGGGUCUUGCCACUUUGAUUCAUAUUUAGAACCAGUACAGAUUUCUCUUUCAGUUGCCUAUGGAAGACACAUUCCCCAAAUCGAUGUCUGAAAUUGCUAAAUAAAUUUCAAAGAAUAGAUUUUUUUCCUGACCUCAUUUGAAUGUCUAGACAUUUGUGGAUUAUUGAAUCUAAACCAUCUGAAACAUCAAGACAAUGUUCCCGAAACCAAAUUUAACCUGUAGAUUAAGAAUGCAAUCAAGAAUUGUAAAAUCAGAGCUUCAGUGCCAGGUCUGUCGGGGGCGAACUGAGAAGUGGAAGAAAAGAAACAAUCACUUAAAAACCUUCCAGCUAAAUGCAGAAACAGGGGACACAAUCAGAGAACAAUGUAUUUGUGCAGAUAUUGGGGCAAGAAGGGUGGGGGUAGGGAUCAGAGAAAGUUAAUGUAGCUGGGAAAACUGCUAAUUACACUUAUUCUCAGAUAAUACACAUUUACCUGGAAGCAUGGUUCAUGUUCACAAGGUGCUUGUCAGCUUUCCUUUAUUUGAAAUUCAAACUAUUUUAAGGCUAUUUUAUUCUAUUAACAAUUGCUAUUAGAUGACAUUUUGAAGAAGAAAUAUCUGACCUUAGCCCAUAGGAGGAGGCUGUAUCAACAUAGCUGGCACUAGAGAAAGAUCUUCCUUCCCCCUUUUCUCCUUACAAGGAGCAAAUUGCUACAGGGACAUCUAAUGUCAGGGACGCCUUGAAUCGGUGAGCUUCCCAGCCAUUUGGAAAACUUCAGGAAAUACUUCCUGUUUUCCACAAGUAUCUCUGGUCAUGGGCAGGGGUUGGGGGGGGUGCUAUUUCCCUUCUAGCCCAUAUUUAACUAUCAUAUUUGAGCAUAUGAUUGCAGCUCCUCUGAAAAGACUUAGAAUGAGCUGCCAGGCUGCAAGGGAUUGAAUCGAAAGCCCCCUAACAGUUAAAGUGUCCAUUAGCUCCUCUACACUUAGCAUCCGUCAGAGACAAGAAGGGCUGGGAGCCCCGGGCGAAUUUCUAACUAGCCUAAUGAGGACAGAGAUUCUGGGAGCAGAAAAAGUUCAUUUGCUGAAUUUCCAGCAAGAAGUCACUUCAAUGUUGCUUCUAGGAAACACUGACAGGCUUUGUUGGUAAGAAAUCAUUAUGCUGAGAGAGAAAUGGGAUAUUGUUAUAUGAGGUUUUUAAAGAAAAUUCAUUUUGAUAGAUGUCUAACUGUGCAUUCAAUUAAAUUUCCUUCUCUUUCUUAAAAAAUAGAUGUCAGGUAAUUGUACUCAAGUUCUGUAAGCUGAAAAGUGUUAUCCUUUCCUUCCAGUUAUUAAAAUUUCUUUAUCAAUAUGUGUCUUUCUUGUCUUUAUCCUUUGAGUAUGGGGGUGGGGGGGCUCAAUGAAAAUACAUGGAGUUCUCCCCUCCUCUCCUGUGGAUAUGUGUGUGUCUUCCAGAAGGAUUAGUAAGGACUGCUUUUGUGUGUGUGUGUGUGUGUGUGUGUGUGUGUGUGUGUGUGUGAAAACUGACUUCUAUACGGAAAUUAUGUAGGUUCUGUGCCCCUGUAAAUUCUUCUUAAAAGUCAAUGGGAAUACAUAACCGAUUGCUAGACAUAAAGUCUGUUUAGUUACAUAAUCACAAAUCAUCUUUGUUUAUUGUGAUGACCCACUAUUUCCUAACUAUAUAUCCUGCCAUUUUGUGAUAGUCUUUUUGAAGCUUCCUUUUUAUUUUUUUUCAAUUUUUUUAAAAAUUUUUUUUAGUAUUUAUUUAUAUUUGAGAGAAAGAGACAGAGCGUGAGUGGGGAAGGGGUUAGACAGGGCAGGAGAUACAGAAACCGAAGCAAGCUCCAGGCUCCAAGCUGUCAGCACAGAGCCCAAAUGCUGGGGCUCAAACCCAUCAACUGUGAGAUCAUGACUUGAGCCGAAGUCGGAUGCUUAACUGACUGAGCCACCCAGGUGCCCCUAUCCUCUUGAAGCUUUUGAUAAUGAUAAACCAACUACCAUUCAAAGCACUUACCCAUUUCAAUCCAUCCUCUCUCACUCUCACCAAAUUGAUCAUUCUAAAAUAUGGCUUUACAAAUAAUACACUCCUACUUCUAAAACUUCUAGCCCUCCAUGUGGCUAUGCAUCCAUCAUUCAACUAGCUUCUCCUCCUGCUUAUCUACUUUCCAAUAAUGGCCCUCUCUUAUUCCUAAACAACCAAUUCCUGGAGUCAUAUUCAUUUACCCAUCAAUUUUUCUUUACAUUCAUUACAGCCACUCACUCUACUCUAAAUCUAUAUGCCAAGUCACACAGAAUUCUACCUUCAUAAUAUUCAUCUCAUUUACCCACUCCUCUCCCUACCCACUGCCAUCUAAUUAAUUAGGCUUUUAUUAUAUUUUGCUUUGGCAUUUUUAAUAGCUCAUUAAUUGGUUUCUCUAACACCUACUUGCCUUAUUCUAGAUAAUUCACAUAUGACAGCCAUACUAAUUUGGUGAAGAUAAACUUCAACCACAUAACUAUCUCCAGCAAAACCUCUAUGACUCCCCCAGUAUGUCUAUUGGAUUUUACACACAUCUUAACAUUUAAAACUGUGCAAAAUGUGGUUGGCACCUACAUUAAAGAAUUUACUUCAUUUUUUUUUUUCAUCAAUAUACGGUUAAGUUCCCACAAAAUGUAAUUACACACGUCCCUAUCAUGGUUCACAGUAUUUUAUCUUUGUAUCUCCACUCAUAUUCUCUGCAAGUGAAAUGUCUUCUCUACUCUGUCUCCCAUGAAAAUCUUAAUCUGUAUUUAGAUUUCUUUUCAAAUUCUAACUACUUUGUGAAGUCUUUCCUGAUAUACAAUCCAAGCAUGAUUUCUCACUUUUCUGAGAAAUAGUGCUUAAUAAUACUUUGUUGGCAUGUCAAGUAGAGGAAAAUGAAGAGGAAUAGUAGGUCUUGGUUUCCAUUACAGUGAGAUUUCCAAACUUGUUCUUUCCAAUUCUUGCCCUCUAUGAACAAAAGGUCUUUAGAGUAAUAAUGGACAGAAAAAGCAUUCCAGAAUGUCUCAACCCAUGGGAAUGAGAUUUCAAAAUGACUGAGAACAUUGGAGAGAAAAUCAAGUUGGUUAUCAGAUCAGGCUGACCCAGCCCAUGUCUUUCCCAACUUUCAGUUUGUGAAAUCCUGGGCAAUUUGGACCUUUGAUUUAUGAAAGCAAUGGCACUAGGGUUAAAUGUUGCAGGCAGGCUGUUUCUGGAGUAAAAUUAAUUUCUAAUUCCCCCAUAUAAAAAAAAUAAUAGCCCACCUACUAAGUAUACUUUUAUUUUUGUUUUCUUAUUUGCCCAAGCCUCUUUUAAAGAUUUACAGGCAAGCAGAAAACAAGGGCUGUGAUGGACUCAUCUUGAUGUCCUAAGUGUUUACAAAGAGAUGAGAGAGGUAUUUGAUACACAUUUACUGAAUUGGAGUCUGCCUUAUCAGGUACCUGACUCUAAGCCCUACUAGCUGUUAGGUACUUUACAAUGCACUAUAUCUGUAAUAGAUACUGUAGCAUCCCCCCCUUAUUUUUUUUACCAUAUAUGCAUACAUUUCAACAAAAUAUUAAUUCCUCAAGCUCAAGAUGUGGAAUUUAUUCUUAUACUGUUACUGUAGCAUACAUCUCUGAGUACAUGCCAUAUGCCUAGCACAAAACAGAGAUAGACAGAUUCAAGAAAGUUUAAUUCAUUUUUGGAUAUAUAUGAAACUAUUACUAUAUUUUUAUAUCUAUUUUCAUAAUAACAGAUUAAACAGAGAAAAAGAACAACAAUCAAAGAGUUGCCACAAUGCAAGAGAUUGCUUUUGGAACUUCCAAAUGGCUCCUUCCUGUAGGACAGUGAGGGAGAAUGAACCCCCAAUCCCAACUGGCACGCACACUGAAGCUUGACAGGUUGUGAACUCCGAAAGCCUUCAGUGGCCAUUGCACUGCAAGUCUCCAUAUUCUAACAAACGAGGCCUAUGCAAUCAUGUUGUGGAAGGAAGCAGCCAUUUCAACACGGGCUAGAACAAGGUUUCCAGCACAGAAAAGAAUAAUAAGAUGGUCCUCCUAAGAAUCCAUUUUGUGAAAUGACUUCAAUUCAAAAAUUCAACUUAUUUCCUGCCUUCAGACAGAGAGCAUCUUCUCUCGUGCGGAGGAUUUAACACACGAUGGUGAACAAGAACAUCAGCUUCUGGCCAAAAUGAAUGUGGCUGGAAAGCUGUGUUGAAAUCAAUCACAGGCACAGCUGGGACUCCUUGGAGCUGUCAGGAAAUGGAAUGGAGUCAGUGUUGCUUUGGAGAGCCUCUGACCUGGAGGCCAGGGCCCAUCAGCAUGAGUCUGUUAGUGCUAACCUGCAGCCGAGUGGUUUGAACCCCAGUCACUUCAGCACUCCUGGAGAAGGUCUUGAUCACUAUCACUGGACAUCAGGGAGCUGCAAGGCUACUCUGGCAAGUGAUCCAGUGUAAAACACACACAUAAAUGUCUAUCAACCUUUCCCACUUGGUCAAGUUUGCAUCAGCCUAUUACAAGGAGAAAUGCAUGAGACUGGACAGGAGGGAGACUCUCUGCCCACCCCUUCAUAUUGGACAGUCUCUUUAACUGAUUUUGUCAGUUUAGCCAACACUUUGGCCUGCCAUGGAGCAUGGCACAAAUGGUGCAGGGGGAUUAUGUGAGCACAGACAGCAGAAAAAUAUCCAAGUCUAUGGCUUUAGUUUUUUUUUCUUCAGAUAACUGGAUUCAAAAUAAAACAUACAAAUUUCCAGUGCUCUUUUACCAUAAGACACUGAAGAGUCUAGAGGUAGGUGAAAGUCCAAGUCAAGAUCUAUAGACCAUGUUGCAGCUCUGAGUUAUUUCUUCCUGAAGGCUAAUGAGAUGUUUUCACAGAGAUAUUUUAUCUCCAUCUUUUCUUUCCAAGUUUCCCAGGAACUAACCAACCUAACUCUAGUUUCUGUUUCCACUUGCUUUUUCACCCUGGCAAUCUUAAUUCUGGGUCUCUGGAAAAUACUAAAGACACACAUCUAUUCAUUCAUCAAAUAUACUUAGAAGCAGCUGGUACAGAAUGUUUAAGCUAGUGAGGAAGAUAGUAAUAAGCUGAUACUUGUUUCUUCCCUUUGACUUCUUUAUUUUUAUGUUUAUUUAUUUUUGAGAAACAGAGAGCACAUGUGCCUGUGUUGUGGGGAGGGGCAGAGAGAGAGAGGGAGACAGAGAAUCCCAAGCAGGCUGAACACAGAGCUGGAACACACAAACCAGGAGAUCAUGGUCUGAGCAGAAAUCAAGAGUUAGAUGAUACACUGACUGAACCAGCUACCCUUAAACUUCUAAGCAGAGACAAAUGCUUUCAUUUUUUAACAUGUUUUCAUGUGUGACUUUGGAGUUAAAUGGGAUUAGUUAAUAUCAUAGCAAAUAUAUGGGAAUUAGUUACCUCCAAUUCUGAAUAGCCACUUAUCACAGCCAAGAACUCUCGUAUUGAGGAAGCAAGGGAAAUAAAUACUCCAACCUCUUUUUCCUUUCCAAUUUCCUGUUGAUUCCACCUAAUGGUGAAACUAAACUAAACUAAACUAAACUAAACUAAACUAAACUAAACUAAACUAAAGCAAGAAAGCCAUGGGGCUUGUUUGAAGCAUUCCGUAGGCAUCAGCCUCCUGGAGUUCAGAGGACAGAAAAGAGGGAGGCAAGGUUAAAUGACAAUAUACAGUACACAUAUUGCAAAGUGUUUGGAAGGCUUGAUUAAACUUCUAUGAUCAAGUGUCUCAAAUUCCAAUCCUUGAACUUUUUUUGUAUGCUCACUCCCUAGAUGAUUUCAUCCAAUCCUUGUCUUCAAAUACCAUGUAUAUUCUGAUGACUCUCAAAUUUCCCCCUACCUUUUCCCAAGUUCCAUCUGUGAACCUGACAUCCACAUGAGGAUGUUUCAAAUUCCACCCCUCCCCCCCCACAGAAAUCUACUCUAUGCAUCCCUGCUGCAUCCUUCCAUGUUCCCCAAAUCACUAAGGGAUAACAUCAUUGCCCUGGUUGCUCAGGUCAUAUAUAGCGAGCCAUCCUUAAAUGACUUUUUUUUCUCGCACUCCUCAUUUCCAACACUACAUUCAAAAUGUAGCCUAAAUUUAUCUAAAUCUUCCUUCCUGUACAAUGACUGAGUUUAAGAUUACAUCCUGGCAAAUGCCACCAAAGUUCUCUUUCUGCUCCAUUUUUCUUCCUUCCCAUGGCCAGUAUAGUCAUUUCUUCAUGGAAACCUAACUACUGUCUUCUAAAAGACCCUCGUGGCUUCCAGUAAUACUCCGAAUAAAUGAUAAACUCCUGACCCUGGACCUCCAAAGACCCACCUGAUUUAGACCUUUUCUAUGUCUUAGACUUCAUAUUCUUUACUCUUCAUUUAUUCUCUUUAAACCCCACUGGCUUUCUUGCUGUUUCUCAAAACAUCAGGGUUAUUCCAGUUUGGGGGCAUUUUCACUAGCUCUUUCUUUUGUCUACUAUGCUUUGUCUCCACAUUCCAUAUAGUUCCUUCUACCUCUCAAUUCAUUUCUCUUCCCAUAUGUUACCUCUGGGUCUCUCCUAACCUCCUCAAUCUAAAAUAACCUUUCUUCAUUAAUUUUCCUUAUAGAAUGUAUUACCAUUUGAAGUUAUUCUAAAUCAUAUCAUAUUAUAUUUAUA
Molecule: long non-coding RNA, 12730 nt
Organism: Felis catus (domestic cat)
Lineage: Eukaryota; Metazoa; Chordata; Mammalia; Carnivora; Felidae
Exons: 3
Source: RefSeq, a predicted model, not a curated record